AGUGAACGUUGGCGGCGUGGAUUAGGCAUGCAAGUCGAGCGAGAACUGUAGCAAUACGGGGACAGUGGCGAACGGGUGAGUAACGCGUAGACAACCUACCUCUUAGAUGGGGACAACAUCGCGAAAGCGGUGCUAAUACCGAAUGAAGUGACUUUCCUGCAUGGGAGAGAUACUAAAGGUGGCCUCUAUUUAUAAGCUACCACUGAGAGAUGGGUCUGCGUCUGAUUAGCUAGUUGGCGGGGUAAUGGCCCACCAAGGCAACGAUCAGUAGCCGGGCUGAGAGGAUGAAAGGCCACAUUGGGACUGAGGCACGGCCCAAACUCCUACGGGAGGCAGCAGUGGGGAAUCUUCCGCAAUGGACGAAAGUCUGACGGAGCAACGCCGCGUGAGUGAAGAAGGUUUUCGGAUCGUAAAGCUCUGUUGUUUGAGACGAAUGUGUAUAUUAGUAAUACGGAUAUACAAUGACGGUAUUAAACGAGAAAGCCACGGCUAACUACGUGCCAGCAGCCGCCGUAA
Molecule: ribosomal RNA, 516 nt
Filed under: uncultured bacterium
Lineage: Bacteria
Description: partial 16S ribosomal RNA
Rfam family: Bacterial small subunit ribosomal RNA
Source: RNAcentral